GCAGCUCAGGGGUAGAGCACCCGCUCGCUGCACGGAAGAUCCCAUGUUCAGUCCCUGGCGUCAGCA
RNAcentral lists this transfer RNA (66 nucleotides) under Sphaerodactylus townsendi. RNAcentral describes it as "tRNA-Ser". Lineage: Eukaryota; Metazoa; Chordata; Lepidosauria; Squamata; Sphaerodactylidae. The record is from RNAcentral.